RNAcentral lists this long non-coding RNA (32174 nucleotides) under Lactuca sativa (garden lettuce). Its description in RNAcentral is "long non-coding RNA (LSAT_LNC009831)". The record is from RNAcentral. Lineage: Eukaryota; Viridiplantae; Streptophyta; Magnoliopsida; Asterales; Asteraceae.
UGAGUUCAUACCCCUAUAUUUUCAUGUUUUCUUAAGUUUUAGGGGGGGGGGGGGGAAUACAAGUUAAAACAACAAGAACACAACUAAACUCUUCCAGCAGCUUUCAUCAGAAAAGUUGGACUCCAUUCACAUACUGUAUUGGGCAACUUAAAAAUUUUAGUUUUCAAAACUAUACUAGGUGCAAAUAGCUCAAGUUCUUAGCUUUAAAAUUACUACUUGCACAUCUCCAUACGAUUUUUCUACAAACUAUGGUGAGUUUUACAAAACUGCUUAUCAUUUCAAUCUGGACCAGUCGGUGAUUAUGGAUUUUUUCACACAAGUUGGAGGUCACUAAAAAUCAUAAUAAAAUUUAUGAAAAUACUAGACUCACUUUCAAAACUCCUAGAAUUUACGAGUUUUGAUUUGGACCUUUGAUAAUUUUUCUAUAAGUUUUCUAAGAACAACAAUAGAAAAUGUUAACAACAGAAAAAUGUUAUCAAUUUCAUUCCACCUUGUAACUUGUUGAGCAAGGUGUAUAUCAUUAUGUGAUCAUAUAUUAUUACAUUAUAUGUCAUUUUGUCUUGGUAAUUAGACAUACAUCAGUACAAAAAUGGUUUUGCUACAUUAGGCAUGCUAAAUGAUAGAUUGUUAUAAACAAUGUUUACAUCCAUUAUACACAAACAUUUGGUAAACUAUGACAAAUAUAGUUAUGAACACUACUACUACCCUUGUUGUGAUAAACUAUAAUAUGUAUUGUUUAUGAUACAUUUACAUAACAAACUCAUUACUAAAGGGUACAUUUAUACAAAAUGGGUUUUCAUUACAUUACACGUAAAUUCGUUAAUGACUUCAGUGAGACAUUCGCUUCACUUCACAAAUAAGUCAUGUAUUGUAACCAGAGUCUCCUGGAGGGAGAGCGUGAUAGUUGUAUAUAGAUAUAUAUUGGUUCCGACAAACCCACACCUUAGCUGCAUGCAACAGCUAGACCGACAUGUCUGGGGUGACAAAUGCCAUAACAUUUCUAAUGCCUGAAGAACAACGUUUCAUGCCAACUAGGUCAUAACAUGGUUAUAAUAACUCACAUUAAGUAUUAACACACAUAGAAUUUACGGGGAUUUCAUUGAAAUCAAACGAGUUUAUGUCGAUUUAAACUUGCAUUGUUUUACUAUAAAUAUGACAAAUUACUUGUACAUCUCGGUCUUUGGGUUUUAAGACUACAUUUACACAUUAAGGAAAAUAUUAGAUUUUCUGAAACGAACACUACUUUUACAAGAAAAGGUUUUCAUAACUACAUACNUUCAUGGUUGUUGAAUAUGAUUGUAAGUUCGAUAUGUAUUUAUUUUCUUAACUACUAAUAUGUUUAAUGUAAUUUUUUUUUUGUCGAAUGUUGGUGAAAAUUUCUAUAUUUGUGUUUCAGAUAUUUGAUUAACAAUAUUCAGUUAUAUAUCAGCUAAAUAUAUUUGCAUUAUUUUCGAAGAGGUAAACUAGGAUUUAUCGAGUUGUAUUCUUGUUGCAAAAGAAAAUACAACAUUUUAACUGAUUAAUAUUUUAUAACAAUUUUACGAUAGCAUAUACUGUAAUUAUUUACAUAUACAUUCUUAAAAACUUUCUGGAUCAUAUAUAUAUAUAUAUAUACAUUCUUAUAUUCUGGUGUCAAAAAAUUAGGGCUAGCAAGAUCAUUGAAUCGGUUGUUGUAGGUUGCAAUGUAAUGAUCCUUCUUGGUGAAGUUCCACAACUCUUGCUCUAGUUUUUUCAUUUCGUCCCUUGGGCAAUAUUCAUCAAUUUAGUCCUCCCCAUGACAUGGCAUUGGCAUUGCUAAUGCCUAGUGUUUUGGCAUAGCUGUUCCACCAUGUUAAGGCUACAUCAGCAAACGUAAAUGCAACAAAUCAAACCUUACAGUUUUUAGCACAAGAGCUUAUUUCAAACACUGAGUCCAUCUUCACGAUCCACCGGGUUAGUCCAACGACUCCUUCAUUUCCGUAAAAAGACUUCGGCUUGCAGUUCAUGAAGUAUAUAGGCUUUAUGGACUCCUCCAUUGUUGACAUUAGAGUUACUUCCACCUCCAUUUCCAUUUCCAUCACCGCUUCUGAAUCCAAUAUUCCUGUUGGCUUCGUAGUUAGCCAGAGCGUUCGCGACAGGUUGAGCAACCAACACUUCAAUAGCCGCGGAGUCCAUUACUUGCGUAUGAUUCGAGUGAGGUGUUGGUGUUGGUUUUCCAGGAUUGCGUUUGGUAACUUGUCUCAUAGGCAUUCUUUAGUUCUAUUAGAGUUAUUGCAAAGAAAAUUUUAGUCAUUUGAAUUUUUUCCCUUAAUCAUACAUAUGUGAGUAAUAAUUACUAUUUCAAUCACAAGAGUUGAUGUAAAUUCGUAGAAAGUCUUUAUGUCGUAAUUUACAAUACACAAAUAGUUCUUUAAUUCAUAAAUAUUGUAAGCAAUACCUAAAUAAGUUUGUUUGAUCAUAUAAGUUUAUCGAAUGUCAGUGUAAGUAUUUCUGAAAUCUUUACCGAUUCCUAAGUUGUUUAUGAUCAAAAGUCAACUUACAAUAUUUAAUAUACACGUUGCUUCAUAUAUAAACAUUUCUUUGUACAUAUACAUUGGUUUUUUUCCAAAAUUUGGUUACAAGAACCACAAAAGUUAGUGUGGUUAGGGGUGGAAAAGUUUGAUAUACUAUCAUACACAAGAUGAUACCCAAAAGUAGGUAGCAAGGUUACUAUAUACCAACUUUUCCCCGUACCCCUAACACAAAAAUAUCUUUGGGCACAACCCGCCCGGAUGAGUCUACCAUAAACCUAGAAAAGUACCUAGUGCAAUAAAUAGGUGGGUGAGUUGUUGAUGUAUAGAUUCGGCUCUCAUCUCAGCUGCAUAAGCUCUGGCCUCUGUUCUAAUCGCCCUAUGAUCCAUAACCUGUGCCAUAAUCUCCAUUCCUGAAAUUUGAGCUUCCUGGGUCAGCAGUUGUAUCUAGAUAGAAUCCAGAUGAUCGAAAAUAAGUUGUAUGGCUUCCUCAUCUAGACUCUGAUCCUCUUCUAAGCUUUCAAUUUUGUUACGAAUACCUAUAGAUUUCCCCUCGAUAAUCCCUAGUUCGUUAGUGAUGAUGCGAAUUUUAUUAACGAGGUGUGCUAUGCGAGAAACUAAGAUGGGUAUAACAGGAUCGGAAGAUGCCUCAUGGGGUGGAGUGGGUUGUCAAGCCCGUGAUGACUCUCCGACCUCGAACUGGGAUGGUAUUUCAUCCUCAUCUCUCUAUUCUCUUAGUUGUGUUACCCAGGAUGGAGUUGGACGUGCCCUUUUUGGGGCUACUGAAGAUGCUGGUGGUGGAGUGAUUCGCUUCCAUUUACGAAUAGGUAUGGAUUUCCGUGGCGUGUAUGACAUGGAAGGACCAUUAUAAGUAUGUCGGUAUAUCCUAAAGGCUGGUAGGGGUGGGGGGCUUGUUUCUUAAUGGCUGGUUCAACCUCCUUGAUUAUCUCUCUUUCUUCCUCGGGCUCCUCAUCCUCCCACUCAGAGUAAUCAACUUCUUCCUCUGUGGGGUCUAUCUCCUCAUCAACCAACGUAGUCUCCACAUCAACAGGAUCAUCAGAAUCUCCACCUGGGUUUGAGGGAUCGUCCUCCUCAUAGGGUUCCUUGUCUGAGGUCAAAGGGGACAAUGAUACUGGAACCUUAGGAAGAGGAAAAUCCUCUGGCUUAGGCGAGUGGGGCACCACCUGAUCCUCCUAUGCCCAUGGUAUCGUCGUCCAAUCUACCGGGUGUGCCAUGAUCCUGCAUAAGACAUAAAACAUGAUAGAUGUUUACGAGUAACAGCGUGAUGAUCUAUAUACAAAUAGUCUUCAAUUCUAAGUAUAUAAUAGAUGUUACUGGUAUUUCCAGUGAAUCCGUACAUAGUAUAUAUCAUAUAUGUGACUCAGAACUAUGUCUCCAAUCCAAACAGUUCUCAAAAAUUUAGAUUGCCAACUAGAGUAUCAAAGUAUAGUCAUGCGUCGGUCGGACCAUAAUAAAACUUAGGCGUGCAAGCUAAGUCUAGUUGUGGUUUGGCCGCUGUACUGUACCAACUUAGAUGACGUAUUUGGCCUAAAUUCUUGAGUUUGUGUUCCUAUGGAUUUUGUUGUAUGUUAUAUAUACAAGGAUAAGUGUUUUCAUCGAGGGUUUGAGUUUAUAAAUAACUGUAUAUCUGAUGUUUGUUUGUGUGUUUUAUUAGUUUUUGUUUGGUACUUCAAGACUAUCAAGUAAGGAUUAGGCAAUCAAGAAAAGUCAGAGGACAGGAUCAUUUCGGUGUAUAGCUUUUUUGAAAUCCAUCAACCAAGGCGAAAAAUCCAUCAUAGACAUAUCUCCCGUAAGUAGUCUAUGCGUAGUGUAAUUAAUACUUUUAUUAAUAUUCUUAAGGGAUAAACUUAAUCGGAGUAGUGAAUCUAAAGCUAUAGUCGUAAUUUCCUAAGAAAAUACUAGUUCGCUAUAGCCAAUAGCUCUGAUACCAAUCUGUCACACCCCCGGACGACGACGGAAAUACCGAGUUGUGCGACAUCAUCAUGGUUCACAAUUAUCGAUUACAUUGAACAAUAUAAAAUUAUAACACAAAUGUUAUUUUUUUAUUACAAAAUAUAUUCCAUAUCGUACUAAGUUUUUAGAAUAUGAGAAACCAAAAAUUACAAGUAGUGCUUAAUCAGAUAAGUACAAUAGCGAUAAAGAGUGCUUUGAGAAUCUCAUGAAUGUUUCCCAAAAAAUUAAAAUGACCGACUCUUAUUUUCCUAAGAAUACAUGUGAUUUUGAAAUGUCAACAUAAAGUUGGUGAGUUCACAUGUUUGUAUAUUUAUAUCAAUGUACUUUUUAUUCAAAAAAAAAAUUAUGGACAUUUUUAUUGUAUAUAAGUAUUUUCAAACUUAUAUUUAUAUGUGUAUUUUAUUUCUAAAAGUACUUGUUUUAUCGAAUAUAAGUAUUUUCAAACUUAUAUUUUUAUAUGCUUUUAGGCGUGUUUAUCAAUGUUACAAGAGUUCCCAUAAUCGAGCUACUGACGAAUUGUUGUCCCUCACGACACUUCAUCGACAUCGUAGUGUUUAGAUAGUUAUCACCCGUGACUUGACUGUCGAUGGUUGUAGCUAGCAACCGCAGGUGGGAAUGUCAACCCGUAUAGAUCUAUGCAUAACUAUCCCGCUCACUUAAGAUUUGACGAUUAUUGGUAGGCGACUUUACUAAAUAUUAUACUUAGGUGAUGAAUGUGUCUCAUGUACACCCUUGAAUGAGUAGCACUAAAAGUUGUAAUCUUUUAACCUUGAAUGUUUAUGUUAUAAAACUCUAAAAGCAUUUUUAUAAUUAUAUCGUUAAAUCAUUUUAAAACUUAAAUAGGCAGAGUAAUAACAAUGUAUAAUAAUUUAUUCAUAAAUUAACGACAAUGUAUAAUAAUUUUUUUUUAUUAUAUGAGUAGAGUAACGGCAAUACAUAAUAUAAUUUUAUAUUAUGUGGACAGAGUUUAUAUUAUGUGGAUAGUGUAAUGACAGUGUUUAAUAAAUUUAUAUAUGUAAACGACUGUUUUAACGGUAAAUUGUUAUAACGAUUAUGUAACUAAAUUAUAUAAGCAAUAUAAAUUAUUUAGUAUUUAUAUAAACAAAUAAUAUAAAACAUGUAUCCUUCCCCAAAGAAUAAUAAAAAGUUUAAAAUGAGGGUGCGAAACUCACCCUUGAAGCGAAAGUUCCCAUGAUUACUCCUAGAUCUUUUUUUAUUUGAAAUUGCCGUCUUACAAACUAUUAUAUUUUUUCUCAAAAUUUUCUUUAAAAUGCUAUCAUAUAAAAUAUGUGAGAUGUGUUUCUAUCUAUACUCAAUUUUAAGAUAUUGAUUGUCUAGUAAUUACUUAGUCAUUUACUACAAAUGACUACGUAGCACAUUAGAACUGUAAACGUAUCAUUUACUUGGCAUCCAUUUUACUCUCAAAUUUGUUAUCUUUACACGUAGAUACUUUCUUAUCCAUCUAAGAUUCCAAAAUAUCCUCUCUAUUUAUCCAUUACUAGGCGAAUCCCCACACGUUACGUGAAAAUAUAAUUAUAUAGUUAAAAUAAUAACUUUUAUCAAAUUUGUAUUUAAUAUUUCUACUUUGAAACAAAAUGCUAGUAGUAAAGCAAACAUAUAGUUAAUAUAUUAGUUUUAUUAAACAUUAUAGUUUAAUUUUUAAGUCAUUGUGAUAUAUACAAUUAUUUGAUAAUUUUAUAAACCGUUUAAAAUUGUGUAAAUUAUAUAUCAAAUUAAUGAUAAUAUAACGGGUAACAAAACGUAUGAACAAAAAUAUGAACUGCAACGUUUAGUAAUAUAAAAAUAGAAAAACAUCUAUUAUAACAUUUGUAUUAAAAAAGCUAUAUAUACAACGAAUAAUAAAAAAUAUGAAAAAUAAAUACUAUAACUUUUAAUAAACAUAAAAACACUAAAACAUCUAUUAUAACAUUUAUAUUAACUCUUCAUAUUUAAAUCACAAAUCUCUUCAAAUACAUUAAUGUUUUUAAUGAGCAAAACUUUAUAACCUUAUAAAAGAAAGGAAAAUAAAAAGUUAUUAGUGAUUACUAAUUAAUAAUCAUAAGUUAAAAAUUCUUGAGUUGUAACUAAUAAAUAUACAUAAAUUAGAAAACUCUUGAGUUGUAGUGUCAGUUUCAAAUGAAUGCGGUACUCAGAAAUGUAUAUNAUCCCUUCAAUUAUUAAACAUAAAGAUAUUUAAUUAUAAAUUUAUAACAUACAUAGGUGCAUAUACAUGUUAAACAAAUCACAUAUAAUAUAUAUAUUUUCGUAAAUGUCAUAUGUAAUUCUUGUCGUAGUAAUAUGGAUAAAUUACUUUCACAUGAAGAACAUAUCAUGAUAAGUGUAUCAUAAUUACAUAUCAAAUGUUAAAAAUUAUGCUAUCUUUUAAAUAUGUUGUGUAGGAUAACCCAACAAAAAACAAUAGAUAAUAAACAUAAUCAAAAUAGAAAAAACUACAAUCAAAUAAAUAAGAGCAUUGGGUGGUUGAAUAUAUAAAUGAAGUUGUUACAUAAACAUACAUUUAAAUCAAAAGAAAAAACUAACAUUCGUCAACUUUACUCAAACAAAAAAACCUAUAUCCAUUUUAUGAAUCUUCUUUCUUCAUUUAACACCAUUCAACCAUAGAAACUUGAUGACAAUUCUUCACUAACCUGCAAUCAAAAUAUUUUUCUUGAAAAAGAAGAAUCAGAAAGAUAUUCCAAGCAAAACAUAUAUGUUUUGAGAGUCACAUUCAAGAUUGAGUAAUACACACAAAUCACAUAUAAAGAUUAAAUGAAAAACUGAAUAUAAAAAAAGAAUGGAAAAGCUUCAUUUAUUUUGGUUGAAAGAAAAAAUCAUAUUACAAUUACUAUCGAUACGACAUAACCCAUUUCUUCAAAUCAUCAUAUUUGGAUCGUGCAUGCUUCAACUAUAUGAAAACUUUUGAAUCACAAUAUCUUCAAAUCUUUCUUACAUGUAAGAUUUUAUAUAACACAAAAGACACAAAAGAUUGGUCUUUUUAUAGUAACUUUUCACUAAAUACUAAUUAAACAUAAUAUAAGUUAUAAAACUUUUGAGUGUUAAAUCAUAAUUAUGAAAACUUUUGAGUUGCAUUAGUUAAAAAAGAGAGUUUCAAAUGAAUGUGGUUUGAGAAAGUUAAAAAAUGAGGUUUUCAAAUGUAUGAGAUUCAAGAAAAAAUGCUAGCUUUAUAAGUAUGUAUGAUGUAUACCUAUAUAUGUAUAUUAAUAAUAAUUAAAUUAAUACAUGACUUCCUUAUAACUUUAAAUGUACAUAUAUUCAUGCUGAAGCAUUUCGUCCUUUAAUAUAUGUGAUACACAUGUAUUUUUGUUUNNNNNNNNNNNNNNNNNNNNNNNNNNNNNNNNNNNNNNNNNNNNNNNNNNNNNNNNNNNNNNNNNNNNNNNNNNNNNAUUUUAUAAUAAAUACAUAAUAGAUCAAACUAAAAAAUCAAUAACUUAUAAAAUAUUUAUUUUUUUUAAACACUUAUUGUAACCGAAAACAAAAAAUUACCAAAUAUAUAAUAGCUGCUGUUUUAAGACAUAUCUGCAAUUAAAUAAUCGAUAACCUUGUAUAAUAUACAUGGUUAUUAUUUAUGCAAAAUUUUGUAUAAUAUACAUGGUUAUUAUUUAUGCAAAAUUUGUGUGACUAAAUUUUUAACUAUUUUGAUAAUUCGAUUUAUAUUUCUUAUAUUUUUAAUAUAAAAUAUUGUAUUUUUAUUACAAAUUAUCAAAUAUUACAAAUAGAGCUUAUUACAUUUGAGGUUCGUCAGAUUGCGAGUGACGACUNAGAUUACGAGUGACAACCAUUGACUUAAUUUGACAGUUGUCACAUUUUCCCUCUGUUAAAAGAAUUUUGUCCCGAAAUUUAUCUAGUGGAUGGAACAUUGUUGAAUAGUUGGGGUACUAGUGGCCUAAUACUCAUUGAAUCUUUCAGCGGAAUGUAUUUUUCAUAUAGCCACUUGUGAUACAAUAUAUUGAGUAUGUCAGGUUGGGAAACCUGGUGAGUACAUAGGGUUUUUAACCGACAAUAAUAUAACUAUUAUGUUUAAUCAUCACAUAAUUAACCCAAUUUCCCAUCCCCAUUAUCUUUCUUAUUCUUAAGAAUCUCUUUUAAGAAUCACAUAUUCUUCAUUCAUUCAUUCCUAAGGAUUUUCCUAAGGAAUAGGCACGAAGUCCAUCGCUGCCAGGGUUUAUCUAACAUGCACUAAGUCCAUAGAUGUCGAUGUUAUCUAUUAGCCACAACUGCCAAUGUUAUCUAUUAGGCACAUCUUCCAUUGUUAUCUAUUAGGAACAACUGUCAAUGUUAUGCAUUAGGCGCAGCUGUUAGGAAUUUUAGAGUACAUCUGAUUAAAACGUAGUUCAAAAACACCUAUAGUUUGCGAGCCUGCUAGCAUUCCAUUGGACUGUCUAGAAUAGUCCAUGGUUGUCAUUUAUACUUUGCUAGAUGACUGGAUCAACUUUAAAGUCAAGGAUUUCGUCCCCUUUCACCUUUCAUCAUCUAUUUCAUCUUUCAUCUCUUAUCAUUCAUAUCAUCUUUCAUCUACCCUUCUUUACCCAAUAUAUUUAUAGGUAUAAAAAUACAUAUACAGUUUAAAUCAAGUAAAACAUGUAUAAAUCGUUCAUCUAGCAUAAAUAUCAAGAACAUAGAUAUUAAGCACAUAUAGCAUGUAUUAUUAUUAAAUACUUCAUAUCUAUGUGUAAGAUGAAAGUAACUAUACAUAACUUGUUAAAGUGACAACUCGAAAUGCAGGCAGCGCUUCGCUUCUAGCAACUGUCUUUUCCUUUGACGUAACCUAGUAUUAUUAUCGCUAAGUUUAUUCUAGUAUCUAUUACGACUAAUUAUUAGUCUAGAUUCAUCAUAAACUCAAAGCCUACUUCAAGAUCUAUCAAGUAAGGAAUAACCAGGUAGGAUCAUAUCGGAGGUAAGGUCUGUUUGGUAUACGAAGCAUACUGUUUGGAAAUCCCACUUUAAACACCUCACUAAAUCAUAGCCUAGACAUCAUCCUCGUAAGUAGAUCAAUCAGUAUAACGACUUGGAAUCACAUAUAAAUAUUUUUUGUAGGUUCAUAAUAACGAUAAAGAACAUAAACAUAAGUUAUACUUAAAGUACGGAAAGCAUAACUCACUUACAAGGUGGUUUUAGCGAGGAACUGGGUUCUGUGCGGGGAGAACUUCUGAGUCGAAAUCUCUUCUUCUUGGGGCCUUCUGGUGCUUCGGGACUCGCUACUAAUACUUAGGAAGCGCUAGGGAAAGGAAAAGAGAGUUUGGGUGUUUGAGAGAGAAGGGUUGAGAAAGGAGUGAGAAAAUAAGUGAUUUGCGCCUUUUACUUAUAGGAUGGAAAUCUCACGAACGCGGGGCGUUCAAGAGCACAACAUGGGGCAUUCACUUGCCACGUGUCACCAUCUUGUUCGAAGCCGUGGGGAAGAAGGUGAGGCUUAGAUCGUGCCACAUGUCACUUGUAGGUUUAGCCCAAAAUUAAUUAUCUUCUAAAAUCCGUAACUUUCGCAUACGAGCUUCUUUUUUUUACAUUCUUUAUAUCAACACGUAGGCAGCGACGUGAUCUACAACUUUCAUUUAGACUCCAUCGGCUAAUUUUGAUUUUAUUUUUAAACUUAUAUUUUAAUAGGCUUAGACAGUUAAAGUCCGUUAAAAAUUCUCAACUUUGUCAUCCUAUGUCUGUUUUCGACUUUCUUUAUGUCAUUGAACUCCUAUUAACAUGAUGUUCAAUUCUCGUUUAGGUUGUAUCGGCUAAAAAUCGAUCGAUCUAAAAUUUGAUUUCCGGACUGUAUACUGCUAUGCAAAAUCUUAGAAAAAUUAUAACUUCUUCAAACGAAGUCAGAUUUAGACGUUCUCUAUAUGCACGCUCUUGGUUUAACGUAUACUAUGAAUUUCUUAGUAAUUUGUCAAGAAUUCACUUUUUACGACACACGGUGUUGUGCCGGUUAAGUCGCAAAAAUUUUGAUGGGUUAUAACUUUUUCAUUAUAAGUCGGAUUCCAGCGUUCUUUAUAUGUAUAGAAUCCUUGUGACAUGUACUAUAACUUUGGUUAAUAUUAUUUAUCCUAAGUUGUCACACCCCCGGCCAACAACGGAAAUGCCGAGAUGUGCGACAUCAUCAUGGUUCACAUUUACCGAUUACAUUGAACAAUAUAAAAUUAUAACACAAAUAUGAGAGUGGACACCCAUUCAAUCGCCAUUUUAUAGGCAAUUUCCUUAUACCCCCUUAUAGACGAGUUUCGUGAAUGAGGCCUACUAACGGUAAGACUGACUUGUCUUAUAUAUAUAUAUAUAUAUAUAAGUAUUAAUCCUUUAAUAUUAUAGUAGUAUAAGGGUUGAAUUUUAACCAUUUAAAACUCUAGGGUUUAGAAUUUAAUGUUUCAUAAAUGAGACUUUUCAAAUUCCAAAACUUAAGGACAAGUUUUGAAAAUCUUCAAAAACUCUUUAAUUAUAGAAUUUAAUGUUUCAUAAAUGAGACUUUUUAAAUUCCAAAACUUGAGGGCAAAUUUUGAAACUCUUCAAAACCUUUUGGAUUCUUAAACUUGAUGGCAAGUUUUGUAACUUUUCAAGACCUUUUGAAUUCCAAAACUUGAUGGCAAGUUUUGUAACUCUUCAAAGCCAUUUAGAUCAAAUUUUAAACAAGUAAAAUAAUCACAUAAUUUUAUCAUUUACCAAUCUGAUCUAAUUCAACUCAUAUAGCAAAAGAACUUAAAUCAAAUAAUAAUCAACUUAUCAUAUAAUCAAAUUAUCUUAAAAUUUGAUAAUUUCAUUCUAAUUGGAUGAGGAUAACCACUACCAUAUCAGAAAAAUUGAAUUUUAUGAUACAAAACAAUUUAUGGCAAUGAUCCUAAUCCAAUUAUGGCCAAAAACUCGAAAAUAUACAAAUAUGGGGUCCUACUCGUCGGGUUCAUGGCAUGGACUCGACGAGUUCAUCUAAUAUGAUCCAACUCGUCGAGUUCCCAUAUGGGACUCGAUGAGUCCAACAGUCAGUGGCCAAAAAUGACAUUUUUUUAGUUUUGAAAAUCAAACAGUUGCAUCCAUAUAACAAAAAACACCCUAGGCUCUUAUACCACUGAUGGGUUUUGAGCACUAUAACAUCCUUAUGGUGCACAUACAACCCUAAUGCUCUGGAUCUAAUUUUUCUCGAGUUAUACAUGCAAUUUUCUUUUUCCAAAGUGUGAAGCCUAACUAGCAUACAACUUUGAUAAUUAAAACAUAAAAACAAGUAAGAUGAUUACCUCUUUGUUGUAGCUUGAAGAACUUGGCCUUAUAAGAGCUUAACACCUCAAAUGUGAUGCCUGAAGUAAGUCACAAAACACCAAGAACAAAUGGAGGAUUAUGAGAGAGAGCUUGGAGGCACCAAAAUGGGCUAGCUUCUUCUUAGAAUACACUUGUAUCCGAUUUUAAGGCUUAGGGAGUUACAUUUAUAGUGUAGAAUUCCAAGGGUAACUUGUAAACCUUAAUCCAUUCACUUAGGCUUUUGAUUCAAUUAUUCAUUUGGACUAACACUUCGAGGACUCUCACAUAAGCUUAAUCCAUCACUAAUCAAUCAUGGAUCAUCAGCCCAAGCUAUAUGUAUCACUGAUUUACAUAAUCAACCCCUGUUAAUUUAAUCAGUCGCUUUUGAUCACUAAAUUAAUUCCAAAUUAAUUACUGAUCAAUACCAAUUAAAUAAUAUGAUUUCUCAAUUAAUAUAUAAUUGUUAUAAUAUAUUAAUAAAUCAAAAAUAACCUCUUUCUCAAAUAUCCUUCCUAUCAAAUGGCUCCGGUGAAUGGUUGAAUUCAACCCAAAUAGACCACGCUACUAUUGGGUCAAGUACAUACCAAUUAUAGUUAUGAGCAUAAACACCUAAUCCAACAAUAUAUUCAUGCAGAAGCAUUUCGUCNUUAGAUCAAACUAAUAAAUCAACAAAUUAUAAAAUAUUUAUUUUUUUUUAAAUUGUUAUUGUAACCAAAUACGAAAAAUUACCAAAUAUAUAAUAAGUGCUAUUUGAAGACAUAUCUGCAAUUAAAUAAUCGAUAACCAAUCUUGUAUAAUAUACAUGGUUAUUAUUUAUGCAAAAUUUGUGCGGCUAAAUUUUUAACUAUUUUGAUAAUUCGAUUUAUAGUUCUUAUAUUUUUAAUAUAAAAUAUUGUAUUUUUAUUACAAAUUGUCAAAUAUUACAAAUCGAGCCUAUUACAUUUGAUGUUCGUCAGAUUGCGAGUGACGACCGUUGACUUAAUUUGACUGUUGUCAAAUUCUCUCUCCCUACCAGGUAAAAUGAAUUUUGUCCCAAAAUUUAUCUAGUGGANAAGCAUAACGAAAUAUCACAAGCCUUACAGUAAUUAAACUAAUGGCAUAAUACUCCUUGAAUCUCUCAGCAGAAUGUAUCUUUCAUAUAGCCACCUAUGAUACAAUAAAAUGAGUUGGUCAGGUUGGGAAACCUUGUGAGUACAUAGGGUUUUCAACCCACAAUAAUAUAAUUAUUAUGUUUAAUCAUAAAACAAUUAACCCAAGGAUGCAUUUAUUCUUCAUUCAUUCAUUCCUAAGGAUUUUCCUAAGGAAUAGGAACAAAGUCCAUCGUUGCCAGGGUUUAUCUAAGAUGCACUAAGUGUUGGAUUAGUGUCUAAGCCCGUAACUAUAUUUGGUAUGUACCAAGGUUGUAAAAAAACGUUCGACGCUAGCUAGUCCGUGGACUGGGGUCAAGGGAUUAAUCGGCUAGGCGUAGAUUACUCGGGGACAAUUAAUUACUAAUUUGUUGAAUUUUAAAUAAUUGAAUAUGACUAAUAUCACAUCAAAGUUCGUAAAUACCAUUAAUAUGAUAACAAAAUAGGUUAAUAUGAUUAAUACAACACUAAUCAUGCCUCAAAUAGUUUCCAUUGAGAUAAAACUUCUUCAAAAUGUUAAAAUUUCAUCGUUUUAUAAUGUUUCACUCAUUAUGUAUGCAAUGAUUAAUUGCUAGGCGCCCUCUAAUCGGUCGAGUAGCGCCUAGGGAUUAAUCGGAGAUUGAUUGGGACCUAGUCGGGAUUUUUACAACAAUGGUAUGUACUUGACCCGGUUGUGCAUGGUCCUUUUAGGUUGCCUUCACCAAAGCAACUGGACAUGAUGAUUUAUAGAGAGAGAGAGAGAGGUUAUUAUGGUUUAUUAAUAUAUUAUAUGAAUAAUAUAUUAAAAGAGAAAUCAUAUAGUUUAAUUAAUAUUGGUCGAGAAUUAGUUAAGAAUUAUGUGGCUAAAAGAGAUUAAUUAAAUAAAGGGGAUUGGAAAUGUCAAUUAUAAGACAAUUGUUUUUGGGCUAUGAAUCCUUAUGGAUAUAAGGGGGGGGGGGUGAAAAUUAUAGUGUAAGCCCACUCUAAUCUCAUCCAAGGGGCCUUAUUCCAGAAGGUUCUUAAGCAACUUAGGGCCUAAGUCAUCCAAUUAGGGUUUUGACUGAAACCCUAGCAGCUCAGCUAUUUAAGGACACCUAGGGCACCCAAAAUCAGCUACCACUUAUUCCAAAGAAUCCUUGAGCUGAUUUUGUGCCUCCAUUCCCUUUUCUCUUAUAGAUCAUAUUCUUGCUUGUGGUUUUUGUAAGCCAUUAGAGGUGUUACACUUGUGACACUAAGCUUCUUGACGAUUGAAGAUUCUUGCAACUAUUGAAAGGUAUCAUCUAAACUUGUUUUGUUAUAGAUCUUGAUUUUCAAAGUAUGCUAGAUUAGGGUUUAUAAACUUUGGAUUAUUUUCAUGUACAAUAGAGAAACCUAGAUCCAAAUGCUUUACGGUUUUGCAUGUGCACAUAAGAUGUACUUUUGCUCAAAUCCCAUUAGUGGUAUCAGUGCUUUGAUUAGUUUCAGUUGUAUUUGACGCUCAUAUGUUCGUUCAUAGAUUGAAAAGAAAAUCGUUUUUUUAUAAAAACCCAACUCACGAUGUGACUCACUGAGUUCACGACCUGAGUCCAGUCUGUCUAACAGACUCGAAGGGUGCAGUAGGCUGCUCGGCGCGUCUAUGGGUUAGAUGGCUCAAAAAUCGGUUUUUUGACUUACUUUGUUUUUGGAUAAUUACCAUAAUUGUUUUGAAUAAUAAAAUACGAGUUAUAUAUAUAUUCCAAACCUCCUUCUAAAACGGGGUAAUUUAUACCGGUUGGAGUUUGUGUAACAUCGGUUUCCAUCAUUUGUGUUAAGGUUCUUUCGGAUGCGCCUUCUCCAUCCUCCAUUGCAAUUUGGUUUAUGAUGGUUGGAUUUUGUUGUAAGGGUGGCGUUUCAGGAAUUUCUUGGUGAGGGUCGGGACUAAAUCGGGUUCGGUUUUACUAGAGGAAGCGGUUUCAACCUCCGGAUCCCCGUUAGGAUUUGAAGUUUGACCAUGUUUUGUUCUCUUUCCUUCACUAAACGCCUUGCUUCUCUUUCAAUUUCCAGAUUAUAAUCAAAGCACCUAUACGAUGAGAUCUGGGCAUAGAGAAACAAAUUGAUUAAAAAUAAACCAAUCCCCGACAACGGCAACAAAAUUUGGUGGUUGUCGAGACCAAAAAAAAUUAAUAACCCUAAAUCUUUUACACUAAAAUAGUGUAUAGUGGUAAAGGGGUCGAAUCCGCAGAGAUUGGUUCAAUUUUAUAACUCUAUGAAAAUCUCUUUGUAAAAAUACUUGCAAAAUGACAAUGAAUAUAAAAAUGGGGGUUUUGGUCUUUCUAAAAUAAUUGAAAUAAAACUAGAGUUAAAGUAAGAUUUAAAUAGACAAUUCAACAAAAACACGGGUUUGAUGUAAAAUCAAUAAGAGAAAGAUGGUUGACUUAAGGUUUCCUCACUUGAGCAUUUGAUGAACAUAUCAUUAGAAUCUAAUGGUGCAAUACUUGUUUUAAAUCUUUAAUUUGACUAUAGUAAUCCACGAAGCUUGAGAUUACCUAGACUUUUCUUAAUUGCUAAAAUAGUUAGAAAAGCUCAUAACAAUUUGCUUAGUCAAAGUCAUAAUUUCCAUUAAGAAUGUAAUUAGUGAAAGUCAAUUAGCAUUAAAAACCAAAAAGUCACCGAAUCCAAGAGGAGUCAAAUGCUUUCACUACCAUGUUGGAGAAAUCUUUUUUAUGAUUGUAUAAAGUAAAACCAACACAAAAAUCAUAUGUUCCUUACUAAUUUGAGGAUCCUUUACUUAAUCGAGAAAUUAGCCAACUAAUCACCACAAGCACAUUUAAACUCAUGAAUAAAAACAUACAAAUAGUGAUAAGAUGCUAAAACACAAAACAUUCUCAUAAAGAUUCAAGAACAAGUUCAUGGAGUCUUCAACAUUCAACAAACAUUCAAAUGAUUUCACCAAAGUCAACCAAGUUUAUUUUAGCCAAGCAUAGCUAAACUCAAGAUAACAAAGUAAGAAAAGAUUGUACGAAACAUUUAACAAGAUUAAACAGCAAAAAGAUGAAGCUCUUGAGGUGUUCUUGCUCUUCAAAAUGCUCCAAAAUCUCCAGAGAAUCCUCUCAAAUUCGGAUGUGCAAGAGUGUGAAAAGAGUCCCACCAAACUUCCUCAAAUAGAAGUUAUAAGUAAAAUCACAAAUUUUCCCCUGCAGGAACCCACGUGGGUCGCGUGAACUGACUGGGAAUGAGCCUGCUUUAUUUGUUGGGCUUGCACUGCUUAGUCCACUAGCCCAGUUUGAGUCUGAUACGCUUCUAGCCCGUGUUUCUGUAAGUUUUCUUCAAUUUGAGCCCAAUUUGUCUUUUCCCAAUCCUCCAAAGCUCGUGUAAUCGCCUGAUCAUUAAUUCCCGUACGCUCGAAAAGUCCUUCCAUCUUCGUUUAACUAAGAUACCAUCUUCUAUAAUGCUCCAUCCAUCUAAAGCCCAUUUAUGUAUCACCUCCACUAGAUAUUAAGCCCAAAAAUCUUUAUUGUUCUCGAAGUCCAAUCGACUCCCGAAGAUCCCACUCCGCUAGUCUCCUUGAAAUCUGCAAUAAAGCUCACGAAACUAGAAAGUACCUGAAAUAGUCAUAAAAUAACAAAAAAUAAAAUACGCAUGAAGAUUAGUUAAGUUAUGAAUGAAAUAUACUAAAUUAAACUAUUAAAAGAAGUAAAUAAAAAGAAACUAUUAACCAUGACUCAUCAAAAACAUAUCAUAAACAUUAGAGUAUCAAAACAUAAUUUCUCUCAAAUCAUAAAACUAACGAAUGAUGUGUAAAGUCCUUUUUUGGUUGCCCAUAAAAUUAGAAAUAGCUAGAAAUGAUUCUAGGAGAAAGAGAAAAAUAUAUGUGAAUAUAUUAUGUGAUUAAUUUAUUAAUUAUAAAUAUAUAGUUUUUUUGUUAAUUUAUUAUGUGAUUCAUAAAUUAAUAUGAGAUCAAUAUUUAAAUAAGUGAUUUGCUGAUUUAUAUGUUUAAUAAAUUAAUAUAAAAUCAAUUUUGGGUGAAAAGUCCUUAAGGGAUUAAGUGCUUAAAGGAAAGGAUGGAACCAGAGCUCGUACGUUGGGCGUACUAAGCCAUCCUAUGUAUGUGGGGCGUAACUUAAGUACGUAGGGCAUACUCAACCAGCCUUGGACUCUGAAUUUUGUUGACUCUGUUGACCGUUGACUUUUGACCAAGUUUUACUUUAGGUCAAACUUGACGGUUUUGAUUGACGAUUAAGAUUUUAUAUGAUUAUGAUGUUACUAGAUCCGCGGGAGCAAGCAAUGUAGCAGGGAGCAUAUCACAAUGUUCUCGGGUUUCUUCAUUUCAGGAGAGUUUCGCCUCAUUGUACGAUGGGUCGAAGGCACUAAUGUCGGCUCACUAGUUUUGGUUAUUUGUUAGUAGAGGUAUGCCUUAGGGAUUGUAUAUAGUCAUGUAGGAUAGACUAAGGACUCUUGAUUUAGGCUCUUUUUCCUGUUCCUUGUUUGGUUGUGGUUCUAGAGUAGGAUCACCUAUCUGAGUGUCUAUCUCACCUCUAAGUAUACAUGGUUAUGUAUUCCUUGGAUUGUUGAUAUUUAGGAUGUUGCUAUGUUGUAGUGCUCUUUUAGAUAUGUAUCAUGGUAUUUAGGAUGUUGUUAUGUUGUAGUGGUCUGUUAGAUAUGUAUCCUAGUAUUUAGGAUGUUGCUAUGUUGUAGUGAUCUGUUAGAUCGGUUUCCUGUUAUAUAGGAUGUUGCUAUAAUGUAGUGAUCUGUUAGAUCGGUAUCCCUUUAUAUAUGAUGUUGUUAUGUUGUAGUGAUCUGUUAGAUCGGUAUCCUAUUAUAUAGGAUGUAGCUAUGCUAUAGUGCACUGUUGGAUCUGUAUGCUUAUAUGUACUUGCUGGUUAUUAUCCAGUGGAGUGCCCUAGGGACUGUAUAUGGUCAUGUAAGAUACCCUGAGAACUCUUGAUCUAGGCUUUAUUGCAUUUUCCUUGUUUGGUUGUGGCUCUAGAGUAUGAUCAUCUGUUUGGGUGGCUAUCUCACCUCUGAUUAUUUAUGGUUACGCAUUUCAUGGAGGAUAGCUGGUAGCAGGACAAUGUGCGCCGUGAGGACUGGUAGGCUGUAGUGACUUGUAUGAUUGUUGUUUGUCUGUAUUAUGUGCCUACUUGAUCCUAAUUGUUUAUAUGUCAACAUAUGGUAGUAGUGGGUUGAGACGAUCCUGCUUUGUGUUGUAGGCCAAAAUACCUAGUGCGGGCUGCUGUAAGCCGUAGGCACGGAGGGUCUGGAAGCGUAGUUGGGUUAAGGCGGUAGGCCAACAAACCAAUGGAAUUCGAGUGUGAUGGCUGAGUGGACCUGAUGUAUGCUUGUAUGUUUAUCCUAUAGGGUAUUUUGGAGGAAACUCACUAAGCUUUGUGUUACUUAGUUGUUUAUUGUUUCAGGUAUCAUCGGUCAUCAUGGGAAAGCAAAUGUGUGACUGUACAUGUUCAUCAACAACAAUGAAGAUUCCGCGCUCUAAUAUUAUUCUGAUUUUUAUAAAUGUAUUUGGAGUAAACGGUUUUCUCCAUAAUGAAUUUAUAACUGGGAAGACUUACUAAUUUUUUUUUGGAAACAACAAGUAGAUUCAUUAAAAAAUGCUACAUGAUUAGAAAGUAGCUAAAACAUGAGCAAAUACAAGUAGUUAAUGAAAGAUACAACAAUUUAAUAAAAUGGAGAUGUACUCCAAUCUAUCCACCUUAAUUUUACAUUAGAAGUUCUAUAUUUCAACCAUACAUACGUUUGGGAAAUCACUUCAUCUGCUAUCUUUGUUGGGUUUGUGUGUAUCUGUCUAAAGAUUCUAUUGUUUCUUGCCUCCCAUGUGCACCAUAAGUCCGUAGACUAUCACAUUAAUCCUUUCUUUUUGUCUUGGACAAUUACCCUAGUUUGCUGCGAAAUUGAUCAAAUCUAUCACAUUAUCGAACGGUAUAGCAACAAUUGUGCACCAUUUGAAAAUCCACUCUCGAGCCUCCGUAGCAACUUCACAAUUGAUCAGUAGGUGAUCGCUUGUUUCUUUUUCUUUAUUGAAAAGUGGUCACGUAUUUGAUUGGGUCUUGAUUCUUUUUGAUUCCAGGUUUGUUGCAACCAGAAUUCUAUUUAACAAUGCCCUCCAUAUAAAGCAUCUUAUCUUCAAUGGGAGAGCCUUGGACCAAUUGAUGCAUUUUCUAUUGUGAGAUGUAUAGACCCUAGAGUCAAUCAAUUUCCUUAGAAUGUUCAACGUAUAAUUACCGUCUUUUCUUCAUUUAAAUCGAAAAGCAUCAGGGGACAAAUUAACAUUACAAAGCAUCGAGCAUAAGCUUUCGAAAACACUUGCAACCUCAGUAUCCAUUUGUGGUGUUUUUCAAUUCCAUUUAAAGCCAUUGGUGCUAAUCCUAUCAGCGAUUGAACAUAGCUUAACUUUCUCCAAUGCAUAAAGACGGGGAAAACAUUCUUGGAGCGUAAGCGAUCCACACCACCUAUCCUUCCAAAAUAAGAAUUUUGUGUUCGAACCUGGGAUUAUGAUGAACAUGUCAUGAUAAUUAACAUCGAAUUCAGGUAGGGAUUUGAUAGCUUUUUCUAUAUUGCACCAAGUUCCAUUUGUUGUUUUCUUUGCCAUGCAAGUGACAUGUUUUUUGUUCAAGUUAUGUAUGCAGUUAAUGCAAUCCUUCCAUAAAUUGUCAGCCCUGUUUUAAGUUUCCACCACCAUUUUUUAGUGGUGCUAGAUUUUGUGCUUUUAAUGUCCCAACUCCUAGGCCUCCGUUAGUUUUGUCUGCUACAACUUUUGACCAUGACAUCCAAUGUAUUUUAGAUUUGGUAUCAACACCCCCCCAUAAGAACCUUCUACGUAGUUUCUCUAAUUCUGCAAUGAUCCCCUCUGGUGAUUUAAAAAGUGAGAAAUAGUAGGUGGGGAGGCUACUAAGAACGGGCUUGAUUAAAGUAAGCCGACCAUGAAAUGACAGUGUUUUCGCUUUCCAAACCGAUAGUCAUGAUUGGAAUUUGUCAAUUAUCGGUCUCCAAUACUUUUUGAAUGCUAUGUUCGCUCCUACGGGAACUCCAAGAUAAGUAAAUGGGAACGAGCCUUUGAGACAACCAAGCACUUGUGCUUGAUGUUGAAGAUCUACUUUUGGAAUGUCAAUGAAAAUUUUUGGUUGUGAAAAUGGGACGUUUGAGUGCCAUCUUACCAUCCAAAGGUACCAGUACACUUUCUUCCUCUCUAUGUUUGUUUAUUUUUGAUCCAUUGUCUAUAUUUUUACACAUAUGGGACUAAGAUUUUAUAAUUAAAUCGUACAGAUUAAGAAGUAUUUUAGUACCUCAAGAUUUGUCUAGCAUGCCAAGGAUAUUAAGAACACUAUAUUUUAAAUGAACAAAUUCAGGUAUUAUAUGCAAUUUUUAAUAUUUCUUUCUGAUGACAAUUGAUAUAUUUUUGAUGUUACUAAAAAAUGAAUAUUGCAAGGGGAAUUGGCCCUUAUAAGUUAUAACUCCAAUUUUUAAUUUUUAAAUUUCUCUAGUGUAAGUAUUUUUAACGAGAGAAUGAAAGCUACAAACAUUAAGUAAAAGUCUAAUGCCCUAAUAAGAAAAAACAAAUAUAAGUUAAAUACUGUUAUAUGCAAUUUCAAGUAUCUUUUUUUUCCAUUACAGUAAGAUUUUUUUGUUAUAGUCUAUUACGCACAUGCAUUCUUUGUUUUUCCAAUAAUUCCAGCUUGGAGCGGAUAAAUGCAUCAUAUAACUGCAUAUCUCUAAUAAUUGAAGGUAAUCAAGGUUCACCAGAAUCAGAUCGAUCAAACUGCCAAUUAUCCAAGGUAGAAGAUGUAUGUGCAUAUUUUCACUCCUUAACUGGUUUCUUCCUAUUAGUCAUGAUCUUACACGUGUAUGUUUCAAUUCGUCAUCUUUGUUGAUAGUUACUUUGAUAGAAUUCAUAGUUAUAUAUAGCAAGUAACAGAAUUUUAUUUGUUUUCAAGCAUAAAGUACAUGUAUAGAAUUACAAUAAUUUUUAUUACUACAUUCACCUAAUUAUAAACACGGAAAUUUUAUUAUACAAAAAAACAGAGGUAAGAAAUUUAAUAUUUUUAUUUAUAGUUGGAUUGUUUCGACUAAAUAAUAAUAUAAAAACUUUCAAAAAAAGUAAAAUGUGUUAAUUAUAUUGAAAUUCGUUAUAAAUUUUUUACUAUUUAUCAUUUUUAAAAUACCUUCGUUUUCAAAAUAAUAUUCUUUAAUCGAUGUUUUAUAAUCAAACAUACGAAUUCAAUAAAUAUUAAAAGAAAAACAAGAAUAAUAAUAAUUUUUUUACUAACUUAAUCCAAAUUAUUUGAUUUCUAUUUUUAAAAAAUACAUGUUUUGAUUUGCCACUAUUUUGGCGACUUAUUACCGAAGAGAAAAAGGUUUCUCAGUUGACUUACAUUUCAUUAAAGCUUGAUACACUCUUUAAAGUUAAAAUAUUCAUACAGAUUGUCUUUUUUAUUAUGUUUCAAACACUCAAUUAAAAAAAAAUACUUAUUUAUCAUACACAACAUGAAUACAUUAAAAAAUACAUUGUGCUUUACAAAGAAAAUGAAUAGUUAAAUUGAAACUAAUGUUAAGUCGUCACAUUGUUUCUUAUUUUUAAUUUAUCAUAUUACUAAAGCAAAAUAGUUGUUGAAUUGAAACUUAUCAUUGUUUGCCGAAAGAAACAAAUUAUCGAAACAAAUUAUUUACAUCCGUCGCUUAACGCGGGUAAACGACUAGUGUGUGUGUGUGUAUAUAUAUAUAUAUAUAUAUAUAUAUAUAUAUAUAUAUAUUCAAAUGAGAACANNNNNNNNNNNNNNNNNNNNNNNNNNNNNNNNNNNNNNNNNNNNNNNNNNNNNNNNNNNNNNNNNNNNNNNNNNNNNNNNNNNNNNNNNNNNNNNNNNNNNNNNNNNNNNNNNNNNNNNNNNNNNNNNNNNNNNNNNNNNNNNNNNNNNNNNNNNNNNNNNNNNNNNNNNNNNNNNNNNNNNNNNNNNNNNNNNNNNNNNNNNNNNNNNNNNNNNNNNNNNNNNNNNNNNNNNNNCUCCUGUAGAAAGGCUCGCGCCCACUAAGGAAGCCUUCCGCUCCAAGACAAAUGAUACGAUAAAGCGACAAAGCAGACGACCAUAACACUAUUGCCAGAACCAAUAGCAGCGCUCUGCAGAUAGAGGAGCACGAUCCUCCAAUUAGCACCCCUGAUCCUAUCGCCUCUGGUGAUCCUGUCUCGUAUGGAUGAUCAGGAGCACAUAAUAUAAAAGGCUACACCCACAACCCCGACAAGUAAGUGGCCUUCUCCAAGUAAUACCCUAAAAACCCUAGAACACUCAAUUGACUUGACCGUCGAAGCGUCUUUCCGGGAGCUCCUCCCGAGAAACGGCUAACGGCCUUCUUUCCAUUGUGACUUUGUAAGAACGACGAUACCAUCGAUGGCGGAGUUCGUCGAAGCCUGAGCUCAAAGUCACAUCAUUUGGCGCCAUCCAUUGUGUGACAAAAGACACAACCGAAAGACACAACCAAAAGCACAUUGUUCACAAGAAAGAGAUGGCAUCUGGCGACAGUGGAGGUUCCAGCGGGACACCAGCUAGUCCCAUUCGGCCAAUGGCGACGUUAGAAGAUACGUCACCACCCAUAGUGGUCUCCAGAGAGGUACCAGAUGAGGGUGGUUCGGUGGUGACGGUGAACCACCAGAAAGACAACAACAAAUGGCCGUCGAGGAACACCUUUCCUCCACUGCUGUCCUAACUACAAUCACUAAGGUACAGACGUCCCAACCACCGCCUGUGUCGUAAAUAGCAAACACACAUGGCGCAACACCGAUUCCACUCCAACAUCCGAUACCAAUACAAAUGACAAUGCCGACACCCACAGUUUUUCAAACACCACCUCUGGGCAAAUUGACAAUGGUGCAACGGUAGCUUCCCAAAUACCACCACUGUUUAAUCCAAUGGUGAGAGAGCAAAAAGCGAUCCUUCAAGCGAUGCCACCACUAACUCAAACGACCGGAACGCAAUCAGUAUUCCACCCAUCGCCGAUAAUCCAAACACCGCUGGAAGCACAAGCGACUCCCUCAAUGUCACCGCUAGCCCAAGCAAUGCCAACCCAAACACCGGUUUUCUUGACAUCGUCGUUUCCAACGAACACGCCACUCCUUCCUGUAAAUUCCUACUACCAACAAGUUGUGUCGAAUAACCUACACACUCAAAACCUACCCAUGUCAUCCAACCACCCGUUAACACUACCAUUUUCACAACAAACAUUCUACGAUCCAAGCCCACCCAAUUAUACGCCUUACAAAAAACUCGAUCAUGUAACUGCAUGUAGCUGCACAACAGUACAAUUUGCAAGGCAUGUUGCCUAUACCCAACCAAGACUGCCUAUCAUGUAGCAUGACAUCUCUAUUUUCCAAGGAACUGCUAGACUACGAAAUUCCAAACACAACUAAACUCCCCAACCUUAAAACCUAUAAUGGAACCAUAGACCCGAACAACCAUAUCGACACAUACGAAUGGACGAUGACGUCAUUCAAGCUGGACGAACGAUUCUGGUGCACAUACUUUUCGACGACCCUGGAUGGCAACACCAAAACAUGGUUCAAAACACUCCGCCCAGGAAGCAUAUACAACUUCGGACAUCUAAAAUACCUAUUCCUUACAAACUACAUGCAAUUACGGAAGUAUAAAGGCGACUCACACUCCAUCAUCGACUGCAAACAAAAGGAAGGGGAAACGGUAAGGGAAUAUUUCAUGAGAUUCACAAAUGCCACACUGGAUGUUCCAGGGCACGACAAGGGACUAAUAGCAUGAGCCUUCACGUGGGGACUCCUACCGGGCCCUCUAUCUUAAAAGCUCAUGGGCAAGAAACCGUAGACACGGGCCGAACUGAAAGAAAAAGUAGAACGAUAUUUGAGACAAGAAGAAGGGGAAGCAACGAAACAGGCGUACCUAAACGCCAUGACUACCCCCGUGAAGCGGCACAACCCGCCUCACGUAGAGACACAAAGCGGGAACAUGCAUUUUCAGCGAGGAAAACGCUUGCAGGGGCGUUUCAGGCCAUUCGCUAGAGAUGACAGGCAAGGCCGAAGGCCAGACGUUUUUUGUCGUUGCAGACAAGCAGUAGCCAGCGAAAGAAGCGAAGGGGCGAUUAUGCGAAUACCAUAAGAGCAAAACACAUGACACUACCAACUGUUCAGUGUUGAAGAAGGAAAUGGAGGGAAAAUAGCUAAAAGGAAGCCUCAUCGAGAUAGCACAAAGUCUCCACGCCAAAUUUGACGCCGGAAACUCCAAGGAUGCAACAAAAGAGCAUGCUCAGCCCAGGGAAAUCCUCAUGAUACGAGCUAAAAGUGAGAGGCAGGAUGAGCAGGACGACCUGAAAAGGCUCACCACAACAAUGCAAGGGCUCACAUUUUCAAUGAAAGAUCCUCAACCCAAAGGCUGGAAGGGAGACAACCUACUUAUAAUCCAAGGCUCCAUUAGAAACGUGACAAUCCAUAGGGUGUACAUCGACACAGGUAGGUCGAUGGACAUCAUCUAAGAGCAUUUUUUUCGGCUCCUCCUGGACAGAUGGAAGGAAAACCUCAAGCCCACUACAGGAAGGCUCGUAGGUUUCACAGGGCAUAGCUUGUGGCCCAUAGGCACAAUUCACCUGCCAAUAACGCUGACAAGCCAUGACAAGCAACGAAGGAAGACGACCCUAAUCGACUUCUUCAUAAUACGACAUCCGACAAAGCACAACAUCAUUCUGGGAAGGACAUCUCUACUCAAGCUAGGAGCAGUCCCGUCAACAAUGCAUGGUAUUGUAAAAUUCAGCACCACCGAAGGGCCAGGCACAGUCCUCGUAACCCUGCCAAGGGAGCUACAAUGUUUCAAGGUCAUGCGACUAGCAGAAAUAGCGCAAGAAAGUAAGAAGGCACAGGUCAAACUAGCAAACGGGAAAGAGGUCAUCCACGAAGAAUACCUAGAUCAUCCAGUCAACGUCGGCAGUAAUCUCCGUGAACCAACUAGACGCGCAUUGAUCGACCUUUUGAAACAAUACGAACAUGUUUUCGCAUGGACCCCCACCGACAUGGUAGGGGUAGACCGGGAAGUUAUAGAGCACAUGUUAAUAAUCAAGAAAGGCGCGAAGGAAGUUAAGUAGAAGAAGAGGGUUCAAGGAGGAGACCAUAAUAGAGCAAUCAAUGCUGAGGUAGCCAAACUGACAAAGGCAGGGAUCCUAAGGGAAGAGAUCUUCCCAACCUGGAUUGCAAACCCCGUCAUGGUAAGGAAACAUGAUGGCUCAUGGCACAUGUGUGUCGAAUACUCUGACUUGAAUAAAGCAUGCCCAAAGAUUGUUACCCCCUACCAGAGAUCAAUCAGAAGGUAGAGUCGCUGCAAGGGUUCAAGUUAAAAUGCUUUCUAGAUGCGUAUAAGGGGUAUCAUCAGAUCCUGAUGAGCAAAGAAGAUAAAUAGAAAACAACUUUUUAUACGGACCACGGAGCUUUGUGCUACACCAAGAUGCCAUUUGGGCUGAAACACACAGGCACAACAUACCAGUGAUUAGUCAACCCCAUAUUCGCUAAACAAAUCGGAAGAAAUAUCGAGGUAUAUGUCGAUGACAUGGUCAUCAAAAUCCCAAACGAAGGUAAGUUACUAGAAGACAUGAAGGAAACCUUCAAGACACUAGAGAAGGUCAGGAUGAAACUAAACCCCGAAAAGUGCACACCGGAGUGGAAGAAGGGCAAUUCCUGGGAUACUAUGUGACCAUGCAAGGAAUACAACCUAGCCUAAUUUGAUGGGUUUUAGCAAUAAGAACAUCCUAUGUGCUCAUACAAACCCUAAUGCUUGGAUCUAGGUUUCUCUAUUGUACAUGCAAGUUAUCCAAGACUAUAAAACCUAGAUCUAGAAUAUGAUAAUCAAUAUAACAUAUAAUUAGGGUUUAGAUCAUACCUUGAUUGUUAUAUAUCAAUAACAAUCCCAAUUCCUUCUUGUAUUGACUUUAGAAAGCUUAGAGUCACAAAUAUCAUUCCUCUAAUGGUUCACAAACACCAAGAGCAAGAGGAUGAGGAGGAGAGAGGAUGGAGGCUGCCCUAAAACGUGUGAAACCCUAGAAGGAUGCUUAGCCACGUUUUUGGGUCAUAAGGGUCAUAUAUAUAUAUAUAUAGGAGGCUAUUAGGGUUAUCUAACAAGCAAACCCUAAAUUGGAUGCUUAAGCCCUAAGCAAUCAAUAGAUUCCUUUCCUUAAGGCCUUGGACAAUUUCUUCUUGUGUUUCCCCCAUAGAAUUCGUCCACUCCUUAAUAUAAGGCAAUCUAUAGCCCAAAUUGAAAUUAUCUUAUAAUUACAAUUGCAGUCCCUUAAGUUUAAUUAAUCUCUUUAAGUCACAAAACUAAUUACCAAUUAAUUAUUGACUAAUAUUAAUUAAACAAUAUGAUUUCUUCUUUAAUAUAUAAUUCUCAUAAUAUAUUAAUAAAUCAUAUUUAAUCCUUUCUCUCCAUAAUUCAUCCUAUCAAGUUGCUUUGGUGAAGGCAACCCAAAAGGACCAUGCACCAUCGGGUCAAGUACAUACCAAAAUAGUUAUGGACUUAGACACUAAUCCAACAGUUUCCCACUUGGAUAAGUCUAAUAACUAUUCUGCGUAUGACUUCAGAUCCUGAUCUGCAAUCGUAGCUUUCCAAAGCCGCUGUCAACUCUGAUCCUAUCAGAUACGCGUGUCCUUAGAUAAGGGAUCAUAUAUUCCUCCAUUCUAGAUAUCAUAUGAGAUAUGAUUUCAAAUCAUUCUCUUUGUACUAUAUCUCGAUUCCCGAUUUAUGACGACUGACUAAUUGAACAAAUCAAAUUAGCCCUAGCCCGGCCGAGCAUUUACGUUUGUCAUCACUAAAUCAUCGAGGGGCCCAAAGAUAUCGCUUUUAUCCUACUUUGGAUAAAAGGAACGGAUAAACUUUGAUACAAUGCUUGCUUGCACUCACUCACCGAAUCACACACAACAAUAUGUUUUAUAACACCAAGUUACUAGUGCGUUUACAUAUUAUCAAUGUGCAACCGAUUCGCAAGAUACAACUCACACAUCUCGGUUUCAAGAAUAUAAGAUGUUAUCGUCUCACCAAUCACUCGUGAUACAAUUCAUGGAGUGAUCCAAGUGAGCGUGGGUUUAAUCCAAUGCUCAAAUCAUAUUCAUAAGCACUCAUGAACGUUGCAGCAAACAUUUGCUUAUGUCUAAUACUCUUUAGACAAUCCACACACCAAUUCACGACAGUCUUCAUUCAUACCUACUUCCAACAUAUGAACGACUGUGGCCCGUUCGAAUAAUUUGACUGUUCUUAACCAAUUAAAUUAUUCAGGAAGUCAAAACAUGCAAAGUGAAACACAAGAAUAAUACUAAUCCCAUAUGGCCUCAAACCUUUGAGUAUAAAUAAAACACCUUUUAUUUAUCACCAUAUCGAUUACUCAUUAUUUGUCGUUUCGGGUAAUCAACUUCUUACUUGAAUUAUUACACUUGUCCCAUGCUCCUAGCAUGCACACAAUGUUUACCUAUGGUUCUUACUUUGUGAAAUAGAUCAAAUUGAACACAUUUCCAAUCAUUCUCAUUUCACAACUCCAAAUCCUUUUUCAUAAGUGAAAGAAUAUCAAAUUCUUGCUACUUAUAGAAUAUGCUAGAUUCUAACAUUUUAUGCAAUGAUCUCUUCGUAAUGUCACUGCACCAAAGUCACAAAGACUAUUGCCAAUGAUAUUACAAAGUCCUCUAUCGGAGAUUGUUACAAGACAAUUCCUUAGAUAUGAUGUCUCUCACUCAAAGUACAUUCCUUUGAACAUCCUUUUGCAUAAAAGUUUCUAAUCUAGACAUAGAUUUUCAAUAUUCAAUUCCCAAUAUGGACACAUUUCCAUAUUUUCCAUAUGACAACUCAUUCUUAAUAGAAUCUUAUCUAUUCAUAAUAAUGUCGAUGUGGUCCAUCCAAUAUGGAAACAUUUCCAUAUUUUCCAAUACUAUACUUCCAACUACUCACAAGCGACCAAUCCUCGGCGAACUUUGGAUUGUCCUUUGAUAGUUGUUUAUUUUAGUCAAAACCGAUUCUUGUCCUUUUUCCUCUAAAUGCGCUAGACAUUUUUGGAAAAUUUUUAGAAUGGUCAAAUAUUAUAGCAUGUGCAAUCGAUCCUAUACACGGUGCGUAUGGGGCACGAUGCAUAAUGUCUUACAUAAAGAUUUGAUACUUUAUCAAUCUUCUGCCAUAAUAUUUUAUGUGCUACGUUCUCAAAAUUCGAACUAUGAAGAGGAAUGUCGUAAUCAUAAUCGAAAUUUGAGAACACACUAUGUAUCCUUGACUAAAUUUAUUAACAUUCCACAACCUAAGCCUUUAGAUUUGAAAUGAAGCAUAAUAUUCUCUCCCUUAAUUAUAGCAAAACAACUUUUCAACCCUUACGACUUUGCAAGGUAUAACUCUUGUUUUCUAUAAUUAAUAUUGCCAACUUGCAAUACGUGCCUUAAUAAUCAUACAAUCAUAACAUUUAUGCUCCCACUAUCAUGAUGAUUAUUAUAAAAAUUAACACUUAUGCUCCCACUAGCUUCGACAUGUAUUCAUAAACAUCUUAACUUUCAGAAAAACAAUGCUUAUUGAAUUUCUUAAGUUCAUGUUUCUAAUACUUAGUGCUUUGAUAAUCUUUUAUCAAGGCUUCUUAAACUUAUACACCUUUGCCUUAGAUAGUUCAUAUGUGUGUCUAAACAAUUAAGACUAAUUGCCAAACCUCACAAUUCAAAUCAUGGAAAGGGAUACCGUAACCAUAAUCGAAUUCGAGAAUGCAAUUUUACAAUCACUAUCUUCUUAAAAUCUUUCUUAGUGAAAGCAUUUCCUCACAAUCAUUUUCAUGAAGGAGGAAAUCUUAUGACACUUAGAUUUAAACGGUGUAUGUGUUCCUAUCCAUGUGAAUUUGUUAAAACCAAAGUUUACGACAAAUUCAAACUCAUAUGGACCGAACUUUCUUAAUCUUGAUUUCUUGCCUUAUGGUAGCACAGCUGCCCACCAUGUCUUCCAAGUAGUUAAGCAGCUCACCCUUUCCUAUCAAUGUACCUUUCAUUGAUUAAGGUGCUUUGCCUUUUAUGCGUUCAAAAUGAGAACUCAUAGAACUCACAUGCAUAAUUAACUCGAUUGGAUUGGCACAGAAACAAAAUAAUGUCAACACGAUAGGUUGUAAACCUCAACUCGUGUGCUAGUGAUGAUCGAUAAGGUUUAUUUGAUUUGUUCUUGAAACCUUUCAAGACCAUUAAGACUCCCACUGACUCCUUGACAUAUAAGAUUCUCUUGUCAAUAACCAUUUCUUGACAAACAAAUAUUCAAGAGUUAGUGUAGCUUUUAUCAAAACACUUCAUAAAUUGGUCCUAGUUGGUCUUUGUCUUAUCCAAGACAUCACAACUUUCCACAUUUGAUGAAUGUUAUAAACCUUCUUAAUACUUUUCACUCAAUGUCACAAUCUUAACUUUAAGACUUGUUAUUGGAACGAAGUAUGAUUGACUUCUUGAUUUAACCAUUUCUUCAAUUCUUGAUUCCUCUUCUUAGACAUACAAUUGUACUAAGACUCACUUAGAGGAUCAAUUGAGAUAUGGUUCUUAAUCAUUAAGACCUAUCAUAAAGCAUAAAAGGUACUCUCCCUUCUUCUUAGAAUGGAGAAACUUUUAUCUUUCUGCCUACUUGAUUCUUCUUAUUCGUUCUGCUAUUGAUUUAAACCUUUUCAAUCAAUUCAGAAUUACACUUAAUCUUAUAAGUAUAAUCAUAUUUACUAAACCUUUAGUAAAUCAUGACGAAUAUCUUUGUUACUCUUAUGGUGGACUUGAUCAACACGCAACUUUGUGUACUCGAUCUCCUAGUCCUUCACUUGACACUUUGUCAAUGAAUUAGUCUAAUUUCCAAAUAUGAAAUUUCUCAUUCAUCGUGCAACCAAGUUGCAUGAUUCCAAGUUUCUGUCCAAUUGAAACUUGGGCGAUGAGAAACUCUCCCUAUUUGGUAAAUUCUCGACUUUCCAUAAAUAACAUAAUAAGAACCAAAUCCAUUAUUGCUAAUAAUAGAAACAUUCAAACAUCAAUUUUUCAUAUACGCCAUUGCAAGGAUAAAUAAAUAAUAUAAAAUCAAAAUUUAUUUUAUUGCGGAAAAAUUUUGUCCUUACAAUGCAAUUCAUUGAAAAACUAUGCUAAUACAUCUUUCUUAGCAAUCUAAUUCUAACUCUAAGUAGUAGCUCAAGAAUCUAAUCUUCGAGAAAUGCGAUCGAAAUCCAUUCCUUCACGGUUAGAUUCUGCUCACUUCUUCCCUUAAGCUUCCUUUCUUUUCUUCGAUCCUACAAAACAUCAAUUGUAAUCUUAUCACAUUAUGUAUUAAGAAUCUAGAAUAGAAGCUUAAAAGAGUUAGUUAAUGGAUUUUACCUAUAUUAGAGCCAUACGUUUCGACUCUCCCAUCUCUUAGAUCUCUUAGGUAAAUGGGGCAGCUUCGUCUCCAAUGCCCUUUCUCUUGGCAAUAAAAGCAAAUUGACUCUUUUGGAACAUGACAUGGAACUACUUCAGACAUUGCCUUUCUCUUAUGAUCAAACUUUUCGAUCAUAGCAUGUCUUUCGUUGCCAUUGUCUAUAUCCAUAGAGGUCUUGAAGGCAGAUUCACCAAUCAACUUUGCUUUUCUAUUGCGCCAAACCAUUGCUGAUUCAGCAGCAAUAAGCAUAUAGGUGAGAUCUAUAAGGGUCACGUCGCGGUUCAUCAUAUAGUACUCUCUUACGAACUCACUAUAUGAGUUAGGAAGUGACUGAAGAACCCAAUCAACAGCCAUUUCCUCACAGACAACGGAUCCCAACAUUCUUAACCUAUCAAUGUGUGACUUCAUCCCUAGGACGUGUGCACACACCGACUUUCCUUCUUUAUGUUUACUUGCCAAAAGGGCUUGAGUGAUCUUGAACUUUUCAAGCCUUUGAACUUGUGGGUUAGGGAGAAUAAUUGGAGGAGGUGGAGGAAGUGAAGCAUGAUUUCUUGUUCCUCGAUCGAAUCGUGGAAUAUCAUCUUCAUGUGGAAUGCUUGUUCCACGGGAUUUGGGAAGACCAUAGUUGUCGAACUUUGACAUCUACAAAACGGGAGAAAAAGAAUUCAAGUUAGUUGAUUGAUUGAGUCCUUAGUAAAUCACCCAAAUGAGAUACUAAGGCUAGGACCCAACACAAUAUUCUACAACUCGGGAGAGGGAUGCCGUAACCCUAAUUGCAGAACAUUUGAAGGUAAGUGAAUGACGAUUCACUAAUUUCCACCAUGAAAAACGAAAAAGAAAUUUAAGUUUUAAAUCUAUGAAAACUCCUAGAUCCUUUGAGAUUCAUUGAACAUUUCAAUGGCAUGUUUAAAUCUCGAUAUGCCCCUCUUGUUUGUGACUGGGAUGCCGAGGAUCACAAAGCGGGUGUGAAUAACCAUGCAAACUUACAUGGUGCCCUCACAUGUUACAGUCACCUAUUCGAUGUGCCGGUAAACCACACACGCUCCACCGAACUAUGACAAACAUUGAGUCACCCUUUGCUACCUUUGCUUAGAACCAUUUAGUGUGCCGGUAAACCACACACGCUCCACUAACGUCUUCGCAAGGGCACAAAGUGUAAUUUCAUGGAAAUGCAUCAAUUCACUUUGCCUAAGUAACUAAGAUUGUGAAUUUGAAAAACAUUUUGUUACUUUUUGUACUUCAUUAUACUUAUAAUGGAAGGUUUUGUCCUAUCCUACCCGUUCGGCUAACGACCCUCCACUAGUCAAGAGUGCGGUGGGUAAGAGUGGAUACCCAUUCAAUCGCCAUUUUAUAGGCAAUUUCCUUAAACACCCCUUAUAGACCAGCUUCGUGAAUGAGGCCUACUAACGGUAAGACUGACUUUUACUCAUACAUAUAUAUAAUGUUAGACUUUUAAUGUUAUAUAUAGUAUAGGGUGUAUUUUAUACUUUCAAAAUACUAGGUGGUCUAAUUUAACAAUUAUACUUUUAAUUCAAUUAAAUUGUAAACCUAAACUUUUAUGGAUUUAUUAAACCUCUUUUAAUUAUACACCUUAAUUAAUUAAUAAAACCAUAAGGGUGUGAUUUGAACUUUUUCAAAACAAUACUAGGGUUUUAGAAUUUAACAUUCCUAAUUAAACUUUUAAUCAACUUUUAAAUUCCAAAACUUGAGGGCAAGUUUUGAAACAUUUCAAAACAUUAGGGUUUAGAAUUUAAAUAUACAUCAAAUUAAACUAUUAAUCCAAAAUUUUAAAUUCCAAAACUUGAGGGCAAGUUUUGAAACCUUUUUCAAAACAUUAGGGUUUUAACUAUUUAAAUUUCAAAACAACAAAACUUUUGGGUUCAAAUUUAAACUAUAAAACCUAAAGGGGAAAAUAUGAAACAUUUCAUAACACAAGGAUCAAAUAACAAAUAAUCUAAAUUAACAUUUAAUCACAUAAUUAUCCAUAUUUGAUUUAUUUAAUGAUUUCUUGCAAAACAAUUUACCAAUUUAAUCAAAAU